AUUGAACGCUGGCGGCAUGCUUUACACAUGCAAGUCGAACGGUAACAGGCCGCAAGGUGCUGACGAGUGGCGAACGGGUGCGUAAUGCAUCGGAACGUGCCCAGUCGUGGGGGAUAACUACUCGAAAGAGUAGCUAAUACCGCAUACGAUCUAUGGAUGAAAGCGGGGGACCGUAAGGCCUCGCGCGAUUGGAGCUGCCGAUGUCAGAUUAGGUAGUUGGUGGGGUAAAGGCUCACCAAGCCAACGAUCUGUAGCUGGUCUGAGAGGACAACCAGCCACACUGGGACUGAGACACGGCCCAGACUCCUACGGGAGGCAGCAGUGGGGAAUUUUGGACAAUGGGCGCAAGCCUGAUCCAGCAAUGCCGCGUGCAGGAAGAAGGCCUUCGGGUUGUAAACUGCUUUUGUACGGAACGAAACGGCUCUGGUUAAUACCCGGGGCUAAUGACGGUACCGUAAGAAUAAGCACCGGCUAACUACGUG
Molecule: ribosomal RNA, 482 nt
Filed under: uncultured bacterium
Lineage: Bacteria
Description: partial 16S ribosomal RNA
Rfam family: Bacterial small subunit ribosomal RNA
Source: RNAcentral